Molecule: ribosomal RNA, 450 nt
Filed under: Triticum aestivum (bread wheat)
Lineage: Eukaryota; Viridiplantae; Streptophyta; Magnoliopsida; Poales; Poaceae
Description: partial small subunit ribosomal RNA
Source: RNAcentral
AUGCCUCCAGGAAGGGUGAUGGCCCUAGCUCCAGGACAAAAAAAGAGGAUCCUGGAACCUGAUGAACCUGCCCUUGAUAGAGUCACAAGGCAGAAAGCAAGGAUGGCGACUGCGACGGACCAUCAGGAAAGUAUGCUGCGCAUGGACUCUCAAACCUCGGUGCAAACGGGUGAUGAGUUGCCGCCCAUGGAUGAAGAUGCAAUGACUCCCAAGACUAGACUUAGAAAGGGCAAAGGGCUAGAGAGGAUCACCAAGUCGCUUGGUAGCAAGGUGCCUAUCCAAAUUGCCGAAGGGAUGAUUCGUCCAGAGAAGCCUCUGCAGGCAGCAAAGCUUGCUUCUGAGUGUGGACUCGUUGCAAAAAGCCAUCUUCCGGUUCUUCCUCACUUCAAGCUAUACAAAAAAAUGCUAGUCUAUUGGAGAACUACAUUGGGAAGUUGCUGCAAAUUUUGA